CCUACGGGAGGCAGCAGUAGGGAAUAUUGCUCAAUGGGGGAAACCCUGAAGCAGCAACGCCGCGUGGAGGAUGAAGGUUUUCGGAUUGUAAACUCCUUUUGUUAGAGAAGAUAAUGACGGUAUCUAACGAAUAAGCACCGGCUAACUCCGUGCCAGCAGCCGCGGUAAUACGGAGGGUGCAAGCGUUACUCGGAAUCACUGGGCGUAAAGAGCGCGUAGGCGGGAUAGCAAGUCAGAUGUGAAAUCCUAUGGCUUAACCAUAGAACUGCAUUUGAAACUGUUAUUCUAGAGUAUGGGAGAGGUAGGUGGAAUUCUUGGUGUAGCGGUAAAAUGCGUAGAGAUCAAGAGGAAUACUCAUUGCGAAGGCGACCUGCUAGAACAUAACUGACGCUGAUGCGCGAAGGCGUGGGGAGCAAACAGGAUUAGAUACCCUUGUAGUC
This 440-nucleotide ribosomal RNA is filed under the name uncultured bacterium. Its description in RNAcentral is "partial 16S ribosomal RNA". It matches the Rfam family "Bacterial small subunit ribosomal RNA", at positions 338 to 795 of the family's 1533-position model. The record is from RNAcentral.